Anastrepha ludens (Mexican fruit fly) is the source of this 1310-nucleotide RNA transcript. It is a transcript of the gene named aldo-keto reductase family 1 member B1-like, with no coding region annotated. The transcript is spliced from 6 exons. The record is from RefSeq and is a predicted model, not a curated record. Lineage: Eukaryota; Metazoa; Arthropoda; Insecta; Diptera; Tephritidae.
UUUUACAGCAUAAAUUAUUUUAGCAUAAAUUGGCAAAGUUUUGAUUUAAGACUUGCGAUUCCUGCUUCAUAGAAUUUCUGCUACAUCAUCUUCCUAUUAUUUUCCAGGACAUUUUUAUUGACUGUAAGCAAAAUGCCGGUUCCCGAUAUCGUACUGAAUAAUGGAAAGAAAAUUCCGAUAGUCGGGCUUGGUACUUGGGGCAGUCCCAAGGGUGAAGUUGUCCAAGCCGUAAAAGAUGCUAUCGACAUUGGUUAUCGCCAUAUAGAUUGCGCUCACGUAUAUCAAAAUGAAGACGAAGUUGGUGAGGGAAUUGAAACUAAAAUAGCGGAAGGUGUUGUGAAACGCGAAGAGUUGUUUAUCACCAGUAAAUUGUGGAACACCUUCCACAGUCCUGAAUUAGUACGCGGUGCACUCGAAACUACCUUGAAAAAUUUGCGAUUGAAUUACCUUGACUUGUACCUGAUCCAUUGGCCUAUGGGAUACAAAGAGGGUGGCCAAUUGUUUCCAAAUGAUGAUCUCGGAAAUGUGGCUUACUCGGAUGUUGAUUAUGUUGACACAUGGAAGGAAAUGGAAAAACUUGUAGAGGCUGGUCUUGUUAGGUCUAUUGGUGUAUCGAAUUUCAACAAGCGUCAGGUUGAACGUGUGCUUGAGGUUGCAACCAUUCCUCCAGUCACAAACCAAAUCGAGUGUCAUCCAUAUUUAACACAAAAAAAGCUGAUUGAAUUCUGCAAAUCAAAGAAUAUUGCUAUUACUGCUUACAGUCCUUUGGGUUCACCAAAUCGCCCAUGGGCAAAGCCUGAAGAUCCCGUUUUAUUGGAAGACGCUAAAAUUCUUGCUAUUGCUAAAAAGUACGGUAAGACUCCAGCUCAAAUUCUCAUUCGCUAUCAAGUGCAACUCGGUAACAUUGUAAUACCAAAAUCUGUGACCAAGAGCCGCAUUGCAUCGAACUUCGACGUGUUCAAUUUCGAGUUAAACGCAGAUGAUAUUGCCACCAUUGAUGGUUUUAAUUGCAACGGUCGUUUCGUGCCUUUGGACAACGAUGCUGGGCAUAAGCAUUAUCCUUUCAAUGACGAGUUCUAAGAAACUACUCAUAUUGAGAGUGAAUUAUAUUAUUUCACCAGCAGUUAAUUUUGCGUUUUUCAACGAGUUCAAUAUCUUAUCACCAUCGAACACAUCCACACCAUCCAUUCGCCAACGAUGAAUACUAAGAAAUGUUGCGGAGGAGUUUUGAAGUUACCUUUAAAUGGAAUAAAAUACACUCAUAUAUAUGUGUAUGUACAUACUUACGUAUAUAAAAGAUUUUAAACUAU